RNAcentral lists this ribosomal RNA (301 nucleotides) under uncultured bacterium. RNAcentral describes it as "partial 16S ribosomal RNA". It matches the Rfam family "Bacterial small subunit ribosomal RNA", at positions 509 to 807 of the family's 1533-position model. The record is from RNAcentral.
CAGCCGCCGCGGUAAUACGAGGGGGGCAAGCGUUGUUUGGAAUUAUUGGGCGUAAGGGGCGCGUAGGCGGUUUGGCAAGUUUGGUGUGAAAUCUUCGGGCUCAACUCGAAGUCUGCAUCGAAAACUGCCGGGCUUGAGUAUGGGAGAGGUGAGUGGAAUUUCCGGUGUAGCGGUGAAAUGCGUAGAUAUCGGAAGGAACACCUGUGGCGAAAGCGGCUCACUGGACCAUAACUGACGCUGAUGCACGAAAGCUAGGGGAGCAAACAGGAUUAGAUACCCCCGUAGUCCCUGUCUCUUAUAC